UACGGGGGGAGCAAGCGUUGUUCGGAUUUACUGGGCGUAAAGGGCGCGUAGGCGGCCACCGCAAGUCGACUGUGAGAUCUCCGGGCUUAACCCGGAAAGGUCAGCCGAUACUGCGGGGCUAGAGUGCAGAAGGGGCAACUGGAAUUCUCGGUGUAGCGGUGAAAUGCGUAGAUAUCGAGAGGAACACCUGCGGCGAAGGCGGGUUGCUGGGCUGACACUGACGCUGAGGCGCGAAAGCUAGGGGAGCGAACGGG
RNAcentral lists this ribosomal RNA (254 nucleotides) under uncultured bacterium. Its description in RNAcentral is "partial 16S ribosomal RNA". It matches the Rfam family "Bacterial small subunit ribosomal RNA", at positions 524 to 776 of the family's 1533-position model. The record is from RNAcentral.